CAGUAGCCACGGUAAUACGAAGGGUGCAAGCGUUAAUCGGAAUUACUGGGCGUAAAGCGUGCGUAGGCGGUGAGUUAAGUCUGCUGUGAAGUCCCCGGGCUCAACCUGGGAAUGGCAGUGGAUACUGGCUCGCUAGAGUGUGUCAGAGGAUGGUGGAAUUCCCGGUGUAGCGGAGAAAUGCGUAGAGAUCGGGAGGAACAUCAGUGGCGAAGGCGGCCAUCUGGGACAACACUGACGCUGAGGCACGAAAGCGUGGGGAGCAAACAGGAUUAGAUACCCGGGUAGUCCCUGUCUCUUAUAC
Molecule: ribosomal RNA, 301 nt
Filed under: uncultured bacterium
Lineage: Bacteria
Description: partial 16S ribosomal RNA
Rfam family: Bacterial small subunit ribosomal RNA
Source: RNAcentral